This 1372-nucleotide ribosomal RNA is filed under the name uncultured bacterium. Its description in RNAcentral is "bacterial SSU rRNA". It matches the Rfam family "Bacterial small subunit ribosomal RNA", at positions 28 to 1381 of the family's 1533-position model. The record is from RNAcentral.
GAUGAACGCUGGCGGCGUGCCUAAUACAUGCAAGUCGAGCGAACGGACGAGAAGCUUGCUUCUCUGAUGUUAGCGGCGGACGGGUGAGUAACACGUGGAUAACCUACCUAUAAGACUGGGAUAACUUCGGGAAACCGGAGCUAAUACCGGAUAAUAUUUUGAACCGCAUGGUUCAAAAGUGAAAGACGGUCUUGCUGUCACUUAUAGAUGGAUCCGCGCUGCAUUAGCUAGUUGGUAAGGUAACGGCUUACCAAGGCAACGGUGCAUAGCCGACCUGAGAGGGUGAUCGGCCACACUGGAACUGAGACACGGUCCAGACUCCUACGGGAGGCAGCAGUAGGGAAUCUUCCGCAAUGGGCGAAAGCCUGACGGAGCAACGCCGCGUGAGUGAUGAAGGUCUUCGGAUCGUAAAACUCUGUUAUUAGGGAAGAACAUAUGUGUAAGUAACUGUGCACAUCUUGACGGUACCUAAUCAGAAAGCCACGGCUAACUACGUGCCAGCAGCCGCGGUAAUACGUAGGUGGCAAGCGUUAUCCGGAAUUAUUGGGCGUAAAGCGCGCGUAGGCGGUUUUUUAAGUCUGAUGUGAAAGCCCACGGCUCAACCGUGGAGGGUCAUUGGAAACUGGAAAACUUGAGUGCAGAAGAGGAAAGUGGAAUUCCAUGUGUAGCGGUGAAAUGCGCAGAGAUAUGGAGGAACACCAGUGGCGAAGGCGACUUUCUGGUCUGUAACUGACGCUGAUGUGCGAAAGCGUGGGGAUCAAACAGGAUUAGAUACCCUGGUAGUCCACGCCGUAAACGAUGAGUGCUAAGUGUUAGGGGGUUUCCGCCCCUUAGUGCUGCAGCUAACGCAUUAAGCACUCCGCCUGGGGAGUACGACCGCAAGGUUGAAACUCAAAGGAAUUGACGGGGACCCGCACAAGCGGUGGAGCAUGUGGUUUAAUUCGAAGCAACGCGAAGAACCUUACCAAAUCUUGACAUCCUUUGACAACUCUAGAGAUAGAGCCUUCCCCUUCGGGGGACAAAGUGACAGGUGGUGCAUGGUUGUCGUCAGCUCGUGUCGUGAGAUGUUGGGUUAAGUCCCGCAACGAGCGCAACCCUUAAGCUUAGUUGCCAUCAUUAAGUUGGGCACUCUAAGUUGACUGCCGGUGACAAACCGGAGGAAGGUGGGGAUGACGUCAAAUCAUCAUGCCCCUUAUGAUUUGGGCUACACACGUGCUACAAUGGACAAUACAAAGGGCAGCGAAACCGCGAGGUCAAGCAAAUCCCAUAAAGUUGUUCUCAGUUCGGAUUGUAGUCUGCAACUCGACUACAUGAAGCUGGAAUCGCUAGUAAUCGUAGAUCAGCAUGCUACGGUGAAUACGUUCCCGGGUCU